CCUACGGGUGGCUGCAGUGGGGAAUAUUGGACAAUGGGGGGAACCCUGAUCCAGCGACGCCGCGUGAGUGAAGAAGUAUUUCGGUAUGUAAAGCUCUAUCAGCAGGGAAGAUAAUGACGGUACCUGACCAAGACGCCCCGGCUAACUACGUGCCAGCAGCCGCGGUAAUACGUAGGGGGCAAGCGUUAUCCGGAUUUACUGGGUGUAACGGGAGCGUAGACGGUGCAGCAAGUCUGGUGUGAAAGGUCGGGGCCCAACCCCGGAACUGCAUUGGAAACUGUUGAGCUGGAGUGCAGGAGAGGUAAGCGGAAUUCCUAGUGUAGCGGUGAAAUGCGUAGAUAUUAGGAGGAACACCGGUGGCGAAGGCGGCUUACUGGACUGUAACUGACGUUGAGGCUCGAAAGCGUGGGGAGCAAACAGGAUUAGAUACCCCAGUAGUC
This 440-nucleotide ribosomal RNA is filed under the name uncultured bacterium. Its description in RNAcentral is "partial 16S ribosomal RNA". It matches the Rfam family "Bacterial small subunit ribosomal RNA", at positions 338 to 795 of the family's 1533-position model. The record is from RNAcentral.